UACGAAGGGUGCAAACGUUGCUCGGAAUCAUUGGGCGUAAAGCGCACGUAGGCGGCCUUGCAAGUCGGAUGUGAAAUCCCACGGCUCAACCGUGGACGUGCAUCCGAAACUGCUCGGCUCGAGUAUGGAAGAGGGUCGCGGAAUUCCCGGUGUAGAGGUGAAAUUCGUAGAUAUCGGGAGGAACACCAGUGGCGAAGGCGGCGACCUGGGCCAAUACUGACGCUGAGGCGCGAAAGCUAGGGGAGCAAACGGG
Molecule: ribosomal RNA, 253 nt
Filed under: uncultured bacterium
Lineage: Bacteria
Description: partial 16S ribosomal RNA
Rfam family: Bacterial small subunit ribosomal RNA
Source: RNAcentral